AUUGAACGCUGGCGGCACGCCUAACACAUGCAAGUCGAGCGCCAGCAUGCUUAGUAGCAAUACUAAGUGAUGGCGAGCGGCGGACGGGUGAGGAACACGUAGGAACCUGCCCAAGAGAGGGGGAUAACUAAGGGAAACUUUAGCUAAUACCGCAUAAUCUCUGAGGAGAAAAGCUGCCCGUAAGGGUAGCGCUUUUGGAGGGGCCUGCGUCCGAUUAGCUAGUUGGUGAGGUAAAAGCUCACCAAGGCGAUGAUCGGUAACUGGUCUGAGAGGACGACCAGUCACACUGGGACUGAGACACGGCCCAGACUCCUACGGGAGGCAGCAGUGGGGAAUCUUGGACAAUGGGGGCAACCCUGAUCCAGCGAUGCCGCGUGGGUGAAGAAGGCCUUCGGGCUGUAAAGCCCUUUAGGCUGGGAAGAAGUGUGCGGGAUGAAUAAUCCUGUACAUUGACGGUACCAGCAGAAUAAGCACCGGCAAACUCUGUGCCAGCCGCCGCGGUAA
RNAcentral lists this ribosomal RNA (504 nucleotides) under uncultured bacterium. RNAcentral describes it as "partial 16S ribosomal RNA". It matches the Rfam family "Bacterial small subunit ribosomal RNA", at positions 29 to 523 of the family's 1533-position model. The record is from RNAcentral.